Molecule: long non-coding RNA, 378 nt
Organism: Aedes aegypti (yellow fever mosquito)
Lineage: Eukaryota; Metazoa; Arthropoda; Insecta; Diptera; Culicidae
Exons: 2
Source: RefSeq, a predicted model, not a curated record
UGUGCUCACGAGAGCCGUGUUCAAGUUCAAACAAUUUGUGAUGUUUGAUCACAGUGCGCUGUUCAUCUCGUGGCAACCGUUGUCGUCAUUAUUUGUUAUGUGGUGUACUGAAAACACUGAAAACCAUUCCGAUUCAUCGUUGGAUUAGUGCAAGAUCAUCCUUUUUUAAAUUGAAUAAAUUACUCGUUUAAUAAUGACGGUGUUUGAGAUGGUAUGGCAAAGCCUGAGAGUCCGGGAUGUCAUGCGCAGUUUUCCUUGGCUGGAUGUAUUCGGUUACGGGUCAGUCUAUCUACGCGCAAAAUAUAAUCAAUACCAUUUUACAAUAUCAUCCGGGCAAUUUUAAUGAUUUUACGAAUAAAACGUAUGUUAUAAAGAUAU